CUUCCUGUCUGCUCAGAGCGCCGGUUCCUCACCUGUUCCUGAUUGGCAAUCAGCAGGGUUCACCAUUCAGCGCCGUCUCCGCUGGUUCUGCCCUGCGUGUGUCCCCUCGUCCGGCUAUCGGUGAAUUCCGUAUCAGGAUGCAGCUUGAUAAGUGAGGAAGGCACACGCUUGGCUUCCUACUCUUAGCCUGAAAGCUCUGCAGACAACUCAAGAAAACGCCCGUGUGUGGCCCUCUGUGGAAAACGUUUGGACACCUCUGGUCCACAGCCGCACCAAAAUGCUCUUGCUUUCUUUCUUGGCCCUUGCAUACAUCCUAUUUACUGUCUUUUGUAGAGUACCGUAUGUUCCAAG
This is a long non-coding RNA of Entelurus aequoreus (snake pipefish), 351 nucleotides long. RefSeq lists it as uncharacterized. The record is from RefSeq and is a predicted model, not a curated record. NCBI's taxonomy places the organism in Eukaryota, Metazoa, Chordata, Actinopteri, Syngnathiformes, Syngnathidae. The transcript has 3 exons.